UGAAAAGCGAACUCACCA
RNAcentral lists this unclassified non-coding RNA (18 nucleotides) under Chlamydomonas reinhardtii. RNAcentral describes it as "small RNA Cre_2831". Lineage: Eukaryota; Viridiplantae; Chlorophyta; Chlorophyceae; Chlamydomonadales; Chlamydomonadaceae. The record is from RNAcentral.